AUGGGAAUCUGUUGUAACCAGGGAAGGGAACUGCCUCCAGGCACAGAGAGUUUGGAGUCUGGGAUACUGUCACCAAGAGCCCAGGACCCACAGCUGGGCCCCUCCCUAGAGUCUUCCUGCAGCAAGGCUCUCCUCCAGGGGGGCUGUCAAUGUUUCCCCAGGGUGGGGCUAAGCCAGAGCCUGGAGGUUUGCCCCUGGGGCACAGAUUCCCCCGGUCACUUGCCCCCAGCGGGCUGCAGGGAAGGAGGCUGUGAAGGGAGGAGGGCAGGCUCUUCCCUUGCAAGGAUGGGAGCCCCAGGAGAGGCAUUCCUGCUCUGGGAACUGCCUCCCUCCCCAACAUCACAGCCAGCCCUCAGAAGCUUGGCCAAGCUGACCUUGAUCUCUGCCAGGGAGGCUGAAAGAACAUCCAGCCCCACCUUUGAUUUCCUCCCACCUCAGGCUAGGCCACAUCUAGGCUGGCCAGGGAGACUGUUCUCCUCAUAUGCCCCCCUGCACAGGUGUCUAGAUGUCCAGAGUGCCACUAGAACACAUGCAGGGUUAAAAACUAUCUCUAUACUGAAGCAGGCUGAGCUGAACCCUGGUGCCUUCCCAAGACAUCACCCAGCCAUGGGGAGCAGGCUUAGGUUCAUUUUUGCUGAGUCUGCAAUCAAACCAAGACAUCCCAUUUUUUUGGCUUUGUGGUCUCAGCACUCAGCACCUAAGAGAUGCCUUUGUGGAACCUCCUGCUCAGCCUUGAAUUCUGGCAUGGGUCUGGGGUUGUCACUCAAUCCUACCAACUGGCUAGACCACCUUGCCUCAGCCCCUCCUGUCAGGAACCUUGUUUUGCAGACUGACUGUCUCAUAGGAAUAUUGUUGAAUCAAGGAGAGUCUCAUACACCAGGUCAGGGGCAGUGGCCUCUGCAUGGUGCAGUCCUUGGCAGGACCUUUUCCUCCUUGGCCAGGCUCCAGCUCCAAGCUGGCAUAUUUCACUCCUUCAGAUGCUGGUGUGUAAACACUGUGGUUUCCUCCUCUGGGUCCUCUUCUCAAGGUUUUCCUCUGCAUCUUGCUGGUCUGGAAUUGCAGCAACACUUCAAGUAUUCCGGAGUGUGA
Long non-coding RNA from Callithrix jacchus (white-tufted-ear marmoset), 1089 nucleotides. The record is from Ensembl. Lineage: Eukaryota; Metazoa; Chordata; Mammalia; Primates; Cebidae.